Molecule: long non-coding RNA, 456 nt
Organism: Brachypodium distachyon (stiff brome)
Lineage: Eukaryota; Viridiplantae; Streptophyta; Magnoliopsida; Poales; Poaceae
Exons: 3
Source: RefSeq, a predicted model, not a curated record
GCUUCCGAGCGACUCCGUGGUGGAGUUGUCGACCGGAGCCAGUGGUGCGGGCGUCCAGGUAUUCUACAUUGGUUGCGAGCGUCCCGAGGAGGAUGCUCCUACCUCGGGUGCGAGGGCCGCGGAGCCCGGGGUUCUUGAGGGCGAGCCCCCGACUCAAGCGAGGGAUGGAGUGCUUCCGUCGAUCGCGGAUGGAGCGAGAGACCAUUUCGUGACACUGGAACUGGUGAUUGGUUUGGUCGAGGCCGUGGGCACCCUUCCUGCCCUUAAGACUUAGGUGGAGGCGCUUUCCGCUGCUAUGGACGUGGAGAUGUCCAAGUCUACCCUUGCUUUGAGUGAGCUGGAGUCGGAGAGGGUGCGGCGCGAGGCCGUGGAGGCCGAGCUUUCCCGCGUUUUGGCGGAGCUCGCGGCCGCGGAGACCAGGGCUCGACUUGCUGAGGAGCACCAGAGGGACGAGAU